This 1345-nucleotide long non-coding RNA is filed under the name Myripristis murdjan (pinecone soldierfish). RNAcentral's name for it is "lncRNA (ENSMMDG00005004748.1)". Lineage: Eukaryota; Metazoa; Chordata; Actinopteri; Holocentriformes; Holocentridae. The record is from RNAcentral.
CUGCAUAUGGAAGGGGAGGAGGCCACAGUAGCACCUGUGUCUGUCACGGGGCUGGAAGGUGGAGGACCCAAAAGCAGGAGCCACAGGCAGAAAAAUGCUCAGUGAAAAAAUAAAAUUUAAUAAAGAAACUAAGGUAGGCACAGAACAGAACAGAACAAAACAGUACAAUGAACCGACCAAGAACAGAACUCAAACAGGACUUAAAUAGACAAGAACUAAUCAUCAAACAAGACACACCUGGGGAAGGGGCUGGAGCACAAGACAGGAGAACACAGAGGAUAGGCUGAGGGAAACACUGGGAGGGAUCAGAACAAUCAGGGAUGAUUAACAGACACAGGACAGGUGUGGCACAGGGAGGAGCAAACAAGACACAGCUGAAAUCACUGAAAGGAACUAGGCAAAAGAAACUCAGGAAACAGAUACAAACAAAACCAUGACAGAAACACAUGAAACAGAACCAAACAAAACACAAGCAACACAAAACCAUGACAGUGUCCAAGAGAGAGGCCUCACUUCCCUAUGAAGACUACAGGCAGCGCGGUGACUGGUCGUGUAACUGCAUGCUUGUUGACAUUCUGUGAGCGUCUCAGAAGAACCUUCAACCUUCAACCUUUAUUUGUGUCCCCAAGGGGGGGGCAAUUAGUUUUGAAGGAGGCGUGCAGUGCAUGCUGGGUGUGUAUGUAUGUAGGUGUGCAGGCAGUUUUCCAGCAUGGCAUCACUGCACCAUUACGCCGUCGUCGAAGGGACCCCCCUCCUCCACCACUGGAGCAGCGCCAGCCUCAGCCUCUCCGCCUGAGGAACAAAGACCACAAGCACUUGGCAGGCAGAGACGUACACAUCCCGAGAGCCCGAGCCAACCAGGGCAGACCAGACAGGCCUCAUGUCCGUCAAAGGUGGCAGAAGGAUCACCACUGCCUCGAUGGAACAGAUUGAAAGUAUCGGGAGCCCAGUUCAGAAGACUUCGCCCACAUCACUGGCACAUUAAAACGCCCGGUCUCCGGUCAAAACAGCACGUGUGGCCUCAGCAGGGCUUUGAGAGCCCUGAGGACAUUGCCGUAACACUACAGGGAAACAUAAUUUUUAUCAUUGUAAUUUGUAAAUUCUUCCUUGCUUUUGUUUUUUUUCCUAUAAGGAAGAUAUUUUUAUGGAAUUGAAUCACUGCUUUGAUAUUUGAGUCACUUAAUUAUGGUGGACUGUUUAAGUCUUCUGAUCUUGUCAGUCUGGUUAAAUAAAUAUAGAUAAUUGUUAAGUUACAACAGGUACCUAAGAAAGAAUGCUAAGUGUACACCAUUAUAAUAAAGUUUUUUUAAAAAAUAUAUUACUCUCACUUGACUGAUCAGCAUCC